GUAAUACAAGAAAAUCUGCGUGUAGGAGUCAGAGGAAAUGAUGUUGAGUGCUUGAAUGCUGAUUUAAGGCAGUGGCAGGAUGGAAAGAGCAGGGCUGGGAUGUCCCUGGGCGACGCUAAGCUAACAUUCAGCAGAGUCGACAAGAUGACACACAAUAUGUUGAAAGGUAGGCAUUAAAGGCCUUUGAUGGUGUUAGAAGAGGGUAAUACAGCUUCCCAAGAGUGAUAAGAGCAGGAACAAAUGUGAACUGAAGAUCAAACGUCAGCCUGCUACACAGGGCAAGACUGUGGGGGAACAGCAGAGAGCCCUCCUCUGGGAAGGAGGUGGUCUGUGGGAUCAGCGCUCUGAACAAGGAACUUGACUGAUCUCCAAAAUAAACAGAUGGACA
This 388-nucleotide long non-coding RNA is filed under the name Fukomys damarensis (Damara mole-rat). Its description in RNAcentral is "lncRNA (ENSFDAG00000033219.1)". The record is from RNAcentral. Lineage: Eukaryota; Metazoa; Chordata; Mammalia; Rodentia; Bathyergidae.